GCCCAACCCUGCAAGUUUUUAUACGAGUUCAGUAGAUUUGCUCAGGGUGUGAUAUCUGAUUGCAGUUUCAAAUCUACAUACAUUGACAUGCAGACAGAAAGGAUUUAUACUGACACAGAUUUAUUAUAUUAAUACACACAUGCUCCCAGUAGGGACAACUGUAUCACUAUAUUACAGUUUCAUGUCAAUGCAACUGAAAUUACAGUCUCUGCUUGUGCUGCUUUAAUUUUUCGUGGGGUGAUGACAGUAUCUCUAGGAGCCCCUGGAGAAUUGUAAUUUUAAAUUAAAGUACCCUGCCUGGUGUUUUUUCCUUAUAGAAGUUGCUUUUCAUUUUUCUUUUAAGGCUUAUAAACAAAUAGUAAGCAAUGAAAAGUAACUUACACUUCAAUUUGAAGGUACUUGCUUAAAUGAAAAAUAGAGUUGGAAAAACUUUGAAAAGCCCAGUUGCAGAAUCCACAGACUUAAAGCAUUCCAGACAACUGUUUGCCUAAAUUGGCUUUGCCUCUGUUGAAUUUAUUCUCUGCUGAAUUGGCUCUGGGAGCCAAUUGCACUCCCUACCCCGAACCAAGAGACUGGUCUCAGAGUAAAUAGUAAAAUAACAUCAAAUCAAACUUUAAACAAGGUACUAUGUAUUAAAUAAAAAACAAUGCAGUUCCAGUCAUUCAUGCAUUACAGUAUGAUGAACUGUAUGAUAUUUUCUUUCUCAUUCAUUAUCUGUGUAACCUGAAAUAAAUAGGAAAGAAAAGACAUUUAAAAUUAUGUUCCUUCAGAAACAAAAUUUUAAAAAUUUGUUGUGUAUAAGGGAAUGGAAAUCUCUGCCUGAAGACAGGCUCAGUGCCAGUAAAAAGAGUCCUAUCACAAAAUAUUUGUUUUAUUGUCUUAUCACUAGUUAAAAAUUUUCUUCCUCUGUGAAAGUUGUUUGGAUAUCUUUAGUACUACAUGUUGUUUGUCGAUGAUACACAGUUCUCUUAUUCUAUACAGUGAUAGGUUUGUAGCUGGGUUGUAUUUCUCAUGAAAAAUCUUGACUCAUUUGUUCCUUCUGAAUUUUCUUCUCUCUGAUUUCUUGUUAUAUUAUUCUGUAUAAACAUUAUAAAAGCCGCAUUGAAUAUGUGCUGCCUGCAGUUGUUGCUUAUACUUGUCGGCUAUUUAUAAUGUGAAAGCUAUUCAUUAUAUGAUAAAACACAUAGACCCUCUCUGAGAGUUAGGAUUAAAUGGCAUCUGCUUUCCUGUCCUGCUCUCUGAAGGUGAAGGGUCUGAAAUUUCCCCAAACCAAUUGUCUCCCUCAGCAUCCCGGCCACAGGGAAAGCUCUGCUGGAACCUCAAACUGGUCUUGAGCUUUGUCAAUUCGUGAGGAAGUCUUCAGAGCCCUGAGGCUAAAGACAAAGGAUAAUUUUGUUCUACAAGGCAGAGGUGACCUUACUUUUGCAUGUAGCUCUUUCAGCUGGUCUUGCAGUAUUGUAGCACAGUCCUAGUGAGUCCAAGCUCAAAUAGAUAAAUGAAUAAGAAUAUGAAAAUGGCACCAGUGGGUCACACCAAAAGUCAGCCUAACCCCACUGUCUUUCUGCAGGAAAGGCCAAAAGCAAACUCCUAGGAAGAAUUGGAAGGCAGGAUAAAGAUAUGAUGUUUUCCAGACUACCUCCCAACCUCUGCCAGAUUCCUUGAAUUAGAGAUGAUGUAUUUGUAUUUAAUACCUUUGACAGAUUUUCCUUUCAUGAGUUGGCCUAAUACCUUUCAAAACCACAAAAUUUUUCAAAAACAUAAUGCAAUGUGUUUUAAGAAGAAAAUUCCAUAUGACAGUAAGACAAGGUGAGCUAUUGUUAAAAUAGUGCUGCAGGUGUCAUUAGCAGCUACAGAAAGGCAGGUACCUAGCCCUUAACGAACAUAAAAAUCAGGUUUUACAAUCUUCUUGCUUUUUAAACCAGUCAUUGUGAUUUUGCAUGGACACCCCUCCCUCUUCCUUUUCAGUAGAAAUUAGCACAAAAAUAACUCUAUUUUCAUAAACUUGACAAAUUGGAAUGGAGUUCCUGAUUCACUCUACUUUGUGCUGCAUUUUUCCAAACAUCCUAAGAUAAAUUUUAUAUAUACAUAUAUAUAUAUGUAUAUAUAAAAUUUAUCUUAGGAUGCAUGAAGCCCUGUUGCAUAUACUUAUGAGGUAUUCAAACAGGGGUGUUGUUUCUUUUCUGGAAUCACCCCAGAAUGAACUAACAGUAUAAUCAUUAACUAUGUUGUACUCUAUGAUACCAUGCAUUUGAGUACUUUGCUCUGCUGUGGUAAUGAUGAGUGAGGGAAGGACCAUAACUGUGCAAAAUUCUUCAGCAUAUCUGAACAAGUUUCUGAGUACAACUCUGACAGAAGAAAUAGUUGAUAGCGUUGGGCCCAGACAAAUACUUACGCAUACAUGUAAGUUUAAGCACAGGAAUUUUUAUAUUCGAACCAAAAGACUGAGCAUCUUGGAGACUCAAACUCUGCAUGUGUAACUGUUAGCUUUAAAUAAAUAAUUUUAACACAGUGUGAUUCUGCUAGGUGGAAACCAUUUCUCUAUCACAAAGCUAAGCUGCCAGUAGUAUAGUGUUGGGGUGAGUGGAGGUUGUUUUUCUGUUCUUACUGUGCUCUCCCUUGAGUGUGAGGAAUUUACAACCAUUAAGCAGACACAGACAUGUCCCUGUCACCAAUAGGGGAGAUCCUUCUACUCUGACAUGGAGGUCUAAAAGCUGUAUAUUUAGGCCUAGACCUCCUUUAUGAUUAUAGACAUACUUGCACAGGAUGUUCACCAAAGUCCAAAAACCAUGGAGAGCAGCAGAAGAGCUCUCCCUACCUGCAAGAGUAGUUUUUGUGGGAUAUUGACAAUAAAGGAUGUCCUUUUGGCAGUGCCUAACUCUCCCAUACCUAUAGAGAAAGUUUAGUCAUCUAAAACAGAGCUCUAUACGCUACAACCCCACCACAAUUAUAUAUUCAACAUAAAAUGUGUUACACUUGGUAACUGUUAAGCAGAUAUAGUAUUUUUAAGUUUCAGGAGAUGAAACAUCAGUCCCUAGUACACCAAGACAAGCUGUGUCCCAAUGCUUUUAUCAAAGUAGGAAAGAAGAUGAAAUCUAAACCAACUUUUUUUUAAGAAUAAAGAAAAAAAAUAUCAAUCUCCAGGUUGCCUAACCAGGGGCAAUGGUUAGGUGAAAAUAUCCAGUGAUGUAACUAGGAACUUAUCUGGGCCCUGCAGUUUCUUUUGGUUUACCAGCAACAAAUUGUACGUAUUUGCAGUUGAGGAAAAAGGUAAUUUUUAGUGAUGCUGAAACUUCAGCUUCACAUGUUCAGUUUCCCACGAGAGGGCACUGUUAUAUUUUUAAUGAAGGCAAGGUUCUGCCCAACGCUGGGCGGGUUUGCAUAGCUUGGAGUGUACAGUACAAUUCUAGCUGCCACAAGGCAAGCAGAAAAAUGCAGGAUCAGAUUCACCUCGUCGCACAUCUGUCAACACUCUGCAUCAUCUGGCACCCUCCACUGCUAGCCCAUCGUGCACAGCAAGUCUUCAGCGUGCCAGAUGUGUCAGGCUUACGCACGUUAAAAUAAAUAAUCGGUUCAUACACACCGUGUCUGAUGUGGCCAGGAUAUGGCCCGGUUUAACUUGGGAUCAAAGGGAUCUAUGUCCUUCUCCUAGGGAGGAAUGAGGCCACCUGUGUCACCAAGCCAGUGAGAAGGAUCAAUCUGAAAUCAGACUGUCACACUCAGCUCUACACCAAGAAAGCAUCUAUGUUAACCUAAACCCAGCUGAGACAACAAGGGAGAGCCAGGCUGAGCUAACACAGGUUUUUUUCCCAGCUGGUUAUAGCUCUGCAAGAGGUGCUUACAAAAUCACUGGUCUUCACUGGACCUACAGAAGUCACAUGGCUGUGACCUGCCGAUCUUGUCAGAAGCAGAGAAAAUCAUAGAGAAAAGCUGGGCAGCUUUUAGUUACAGAAAUACUUUGUAAUAAUGUGAUUUCCUUGACUGCAUUGUUCUGUGAUGACACAUCUCCACCUUGCUACCUCCUGUGCUCCAGCUAAUGCGUCAGCCACUGUCUGUUCUGGGCCAAACUCAUCAUCCGUAAUGUAAUCAAAGGGAGAUCAGAAAUAUGGGGUCUCCUGUGAACCUGUGAUGUUGUACUUCAGGAUGAGACAGAUGACCUCUCUGCUUUUGGGAUUCGAAUAUGGGGAAUCUCUAGCUAGUUCAUCUAAUGGGACCAGUCGCUUCACUUCUCUGGAGUGUUUUGUGACUAUUUACUUUAACACGCUUCUUAAACUUCUUCUUUUGACCCACUGCAGAAAAUCUCAGUGUUUAACUGGCUGCCAGUAUCUCCACUAUUCAGUCUCUUGCUUUUCAGCCAAAACCCUUAUGCUCUGCAGAUCCCCCACUUCCCAGCCCGACCCCAGCCAAGCCUGGUGUCAUUAAAGUUAGCCACACUAUAGCUAGCCUCCACACAAGUCUCUUGAGUUUGCAGGUGACGAUGAAGGCCUGUCCUUGCAAGAGUAUGAUUUAGACUGCUGGAGUGGGAUUCAUCUCACCCAGCUGUAGAAGCUAUGGGUC
Harpia harpyja (harpy eagle) is the source of this 4554-nucleotide long non-coding RNA. RefSeq lists it as uncharacterized. The record is from RefSeq and is a predicted model, not a curated record. The transcript is spliced from 3 exons. NCBI's taxonomy places the organism in Eukaryota, Metazoa, Chordata, Aves, Accipitriformes, Accipitridae.